UUUCUACUCCCUCCGUCCGAAAAUACUUGUCACAUUAAUGGAUGCAUCUAGAUGUAUUUUAGUUCUAGAUACAUCCAUUUUUAUAAAUUUGUGAGACAAGUAAUUCCGGACGGAGGGAGUAUUAA
Molecule: non-coding RNA, 125 nt
Organism: Hordeum vulgare subsp. vulgare (domesticated barley)
Lineage: Eukaryota; Viridiplantae; Streptophyta; Magnoliopsida; Poales; Poaceae
Source: Rfam